This 240-nucleotide unclassified non-coding RNA is filed under the name soil metagenome. RNAcentral describes it as "partial contains 5.8S ribosomal RNA, internal transcribed spacer 2, and large subunit ribosomal RNA". The record is from RNAcentral.
AACGGUCUAUACCUGCGGUACCUGCGGAAGGAUCAUUACAGAGUUACUACUCCAAACCCAUUGUGAACCUUACCUAUGUUCUGUUGCCUCGGCGGCGCGGUCAGCGCCCCUCUGAAAAGAGGACGAUGCCCUCCCGCCGGCAGCACCAAACUCUUGAAUUUUACAGCGGAUUACAGUUCUGAUUUAAAAACAAAAAAAACAAGUUAAAACUUUUAACAACGGAUCUCUAGAUCGGAAGAG